RNAcentral lists this ribosomal RNA (253 nucleotides) under uncultured bacterium. RNAcentral describes it as "partial 16S ribosomal RNA". It matches the Rfam family "Bacterial small subunit ribosomal RNA", at positions 524 to 776 of the family's 1533-position model. The record is from RNAcentral.
UACGAAGGGGGCUAGCGUUGCUCGGAAUCACUGGGCGUAAAGCGCACGUAGGCGGAUUGUUAAGUCGGGGGUGAAAUCCUGGAGCUCAACUCCAGAACUGCCUUCGAUACUGGCGAUCUUGAGUCCGGGAGAGGUGAGUGGAACUCCGAGUGUAGAGGUGAAAUUCGUAGAUAUUCGGAAGAACACCAGUGGCGAAGGCGGCUCACUGGCCCGGUACUGACGCUGAGGCGCGAAAGCGUGGGGAGCAAACGGG